This 212-nucleotide ribosomal RNA is filed under the name uncultured Actinomycetales bacterium. RNAcentral's name for it is "partial 16S ribosomal RNA". It matches the Rfam family "Bacterial small subunit ribosomal RNA", at positions 118 to 334 of the family's 1533-position model. Lineage: Bacteria; Bacillati; Actinomycetota; Actinomycetes; Actinomycetales. The record is from RNAcentral.
UGGGUGAUCUGCCUUGCACUCUGGGAUAAGCUUGGGAAACUGGGUCUAAUACCGGAUAGGAACCGUCUUUAGUGUGGUGGUUGGAAAGUUUUUCGGUGCAAGAUGAGCUCGCGGCCUAUCAGCUUGUUGGUGGGGUAAUGGCCUACCAAGGCGUCGACGGGUAGCCGGCCUGAGAGGGUGUACGGCCACAUUGGGACUGAGAUACGGCCCAG